Molecule: long non-coding RNA, 716 nt
Organism: Gambusia affinis (western mosquitofish)
Lineage: Eukaryota; Metazoa; Chordata; Actinopteri; Cyprinodontiformes; Poeciliidae
Exons: 4
Source: RefSeq, a predicted model, not a curated record
CGUUUGUAUGUUCGCUGCCACCCGUCGCCUCCCCUUUAACUCGCUCGCGGCGCUCAGACAUGCGCAGUUUGUCUCGGAGCGGAGAAGAGGUCCGACUAAUCGACAGAAAUAAAUUUCCCUACAUAAAUCAUAAGACAUCACAACGAUAUGUGAAUUAAUCAGCGCUUCGCUUCCAGAGACGGUGGGACUACGUCCAACUUUUGUUGUCAAAAGAAGCUGAAAGAAACUGACGCUCUCGCCGGUCUCCGUGUCAGAGUGUAAAUAUGUAGCAGAAUCAGAAACCGAGGACCUUGCUGUUAGAGAGUCUCACACCAAUCGUCAACAGGAAGGAGAUGAAGAUGAUGUUAAUGGUUCUUGUCCAUCUUUCUGGCAGCAGCUAUUGAUUAAUGGACGUUCACCAUCCAGAACUUCCUGCGGUUGGGCGGCGUCCAGGCGGUGUGUGUGACAUUUCAGGAAGAAGACCUGACUCCAGGAUUGUUACUGGGAACAGAUUAGCUGCAGGGAGCUGAAAGGGACUGCAGAGCAUCACAGGAGAUCCUGGAUCAUUAUGGCCACAAAGCCUGCUGGUUGCUAUGGCAACGUAGUCGAACAGCAUCCGUCCAUCCCUGAGAACCAGACAGAAGACAAGAGUCAGCAGGUUCUGCUUCCCAUCAUGCAGCUGGGCAGGGGGCGGGGCCUGGCGGACCUGGUGGACUGCAUCUGCCGGGUCGUCUCCG